CCUACGGGAGGCAGCAGUGAGGAAUAUUGGUCAAUGGACGAGAGUCUGAACCAGCCAAGUAGCGUGAAGGAUGACUGCCCUAUGGGUUGUAAACUUCUUUUAUAUGGGAAUAAAAUGUUCCACGUGUGGGAUUUUGUAUGUACCAUAUGAAUAAGGAUCGGCUAACUCCGUGCCAGCAGCCGCGGUAAUACGGAGGAUCCGAGCGUUAUCCGGAUUUAUUGGGUUUAAAGGGGGCGUAGGUGGAUUGUUAAGUCAGUUGUGAAAGUUUGCGGCUCAACCGUAAAAUUGCAGUUGAAACUGGCAGUCGUGAGAACAGUAGAGGUAGGCGGAAUUCGUGGUGUAGCGGUGAAAUGCUUAGAUAUCACGAAGAACUCCGAUUGCGAAGGCAGCUCACUGGACUGCAACUGACACUGAGGCUCGAAAGUGUGGGUAUCAAACAGGAUUAGAUACCCCUGUAGUC
This 460-nucleotide ribosomal RNA is filed under the name uncultured bacterium. Its description in RNAcentral is "partial 16S ribosomal RNA". It matches the Rfam family "Bacterial small subunit ribosomal RNA", at positions 338 to 795 of the family's 1533-position model. The record is from RNAcentral.